ACUGCCGGCUAAAAAGUCGGAGGAAGGUGGGGAUGACGUCAAAUCAUCAUGCCCUUAUGACCUGGGCUACACACGUGCUACAAUGGGCGGGUACAAAGGGUCGCGAACCCGCAGGGGGAGCCAAUCCCAAAAAGCCGCUCUCAGUUCGGAUUGCAGGCUGCAACUCGCCUGCAUGAAGCCGGAAUCGCUAGUAAUCGCGGAUCAGCAUGCCGCGGUGAAUACGUUCCCGGGCCUU
Molecule: ribosomal RNA, 235 nt
Filed under: uncultured Anoxybacillus sp.
Lineage: Bacteria; Bacillati; Bacillota; Bacilli; Caryophanales; Anoxybacillaceae
Description: partial 16S ribosomal RNA
Rfam family: Bacterial small subunit ribosomal RNA
Source: RNAcentral